ACACACCGCCCGUCACACCAUGGGAGUUGGUUUUACCUGAAGACGGUGCGCUAACCGAAAGGGGGCAGCCGGCCACGGUAGGGUCAGCGACUGGGGUGAAGUCGUAACAAGGUAGCCGUAGGGGAACCUGCGGCUGGAUCACCUCCUUUCUAAGGAUGAUCCUUCAGAUCAGCUCACGCUAUCUAUCGGAUCGUUUUAGAAACAUUCAGGGGCCAAUCGAUCGCAAGAUCAUUGAGCUCCAUUGGCGGGAUUUCGCCGUCUUCGUUUCUCUUUCUUCGCGGACGAACACGCGCCAGGGGCUUAGCGCUGUGCGGUUGCAUUCGGCGCUGGUCGCCGGCUUGCGCGCACGCAAGAUCCCUAGUCCUAUGAAGGAUAGCGUUAGGGGCUUGUAGCUCAGUUGGUUAGAGCGCGCGCUUGAUAAGCGUGAGGUCGGAAGUUCAAGUCUUCCCAGGCCCACCAGCCUUCGCUCGCGCUAGCGAGCGCAAGGCUGCCGCGCCGAAGCCCAACGGGCGAAGGCGGGCCAGUCAGCGCGAGCUUCGGCUCGGCAAGCCACAAAGUACGAACAUCGCGCUUCGUCUUCUGGUUACGGGGCCAUAGCUCAGCUGGGAGAGCGCGUGCUUUGCAAGCAUGAGGUCGUCGGUUCGAUCCCGUCUGGCUCCACCAGAUGGUUUGAUCACCAACGGCGUAACCGUCGUCCGCGAAACAUCACUUCGCACUCAUUGGUCCGGAUGGACGGUGACGUGCGUGUUUUCUGACAUCGUAAAGAGGAGAUCGAUCCGAGUUUGGAUCAAGCGAAGCAAUUCGCCUGAACCAUUCACUAUCUCCGGGAUCAUUUCGGCGCUCGCUUUCAGUCGUGAGAUUGAGUGCGGGUUGUAAAUGAUCUCUGUUAGCGAAGCUUGACCGCCUCGCUAUCGGGCCGAUCUUACGAAGCAAGCUGGUCUUUCUAGUCGCCGUAGGGGAACCUGCGGCUGGAUCACCUCCUUUCUAAGGAUGAUCCUUCAGCGAGCUCACGCUCACUAUCGGAUCGUUUUAGAAACAUCAGUGGCCAACAGAUCGCCAGAUCGUUGAGCUGCAUUGGCGGGAUUUCGCCGUCUUCGUUUCUCUUUCUUCGCGGACGAACACGCGCUGGGCCUGCAACGGCAGGAUCCGGGGUCCUUAACGGGAUAUGCGUUAGGGGCUUGUAGCUCAGUUGGUUAGAGCGCGCGCUUGAUAAGCGUGAGGUCGGAAGUUCAAGUCUUCCCAGGCCCACCACUUUCAUCGAGUGAGCAUUCGUCUUCUGGUUACGGGGCCAUAGCUCAGCUGGGAGAGCGCGUGCUUUGCAAGCAUGAGGUCGUCGGUUCGAUCCCGUCUGGCUCCACCAGAUGGUUUGAUCGCCGAGGUCAUGCACCGUCGUCCGCGAAACAUCACUUCGCAUUCACUAGUCUGGAUAGACAGUGAACUGCGUGUUUUCUGACAUCGUAAAGAGGAGAUCGAUCCGAGUUGGGUCGUGCAGCAUAUCGUUGCGCGAGCCUUCAUUAUCUCCGGAUCAUUUUCGGCGCUCGCGUCCGACCGCAAGGUUGGCUGCGAGUUGUAAAAUGAUCCUUUUAGCGAAGCUUGACCGCCUCGCUAUCGGAACGAUCUUACGAAGCAAGCUGGUCUUUCUAGUCAAUGUCCGGCUGUACGUAGCAUUCAUCGAGGGUGCGCGCCGCAAGGCAAUCGUACAGACAACAUUCUGCCGAGUGUGUGGACAUUGAUAAUGAGAGCAAUCAAGUGCCUUAAGGGUGUUC
Molecule: transfer RNA, 1766 nt
Filed under: Bradyrhizobium sp.
Lineage: Bacteria; Pseudomonadati; Pseudomonadota; Alphaproteobacteria; Hyphomicrobiales; Nitrobacteraceae
Description: partial may contain 16S ribosomal RNA, 16S-23S ribosomal RNA intergenic spacer, and 23S ribosomal RNA
Rfam family: Bacterial small subunit ribosomal RNA (bases 1-149)
Source: RNAcentral